This 500-nucleotide ribosomal RNA is filed under the name uncultured bacterium. Its description in RNAcentral is "partial 16S ribosomal RNA". It matches the Rfam family "Bacterial small subunit ribosomal RNA", at positions 30 to 523 of the family's 1533-position model. The record is from RNAcentral.
AUUGAACGCUGGCGGCAUGCCUUACACAUGCAAGUCGAACGGCAGCACGGGAGCAAUCCUGGUGGCGAGUGGCGAACGGGUGAGUAAAGUAUCGGAACGUGCCCAGUCGUGGGGGAUAACGUAGCGAAAGUUACGCUAAUACCGCAUACGAUCUAUGGAUGAAAGCGGGGGAUCGCAAGACCUCUCGCGAUUGGAGCGGCCGAUAUCAGAUUAGGUAAUUGGUGGGGUAAAGGCUCACCAAGCCGACGAUCUGUAGCUGGUCUGAGAGGACGACCAGCCACACUGGGACUGAGACACGGCCCAGACUCCUACGGGAGGCAGCAGUGGGGAAUUUUGGACAAUGGGCGAAAGCCUGAUCCAGCCAUGCCGCGUGCAGGAUGAAGGCCUUCGGGUUGUAAACUGCUUUUGUACGGAACGAAAAGGUUUGGCCUAAUAAGCUGAGCUCAUGACGGUACCGUAAGAAUAAGCACCGGCUAACUACGUGCCAGCAGCCGCAGUAA